GGCGGAAUGGCCGAGUGGUCUAAGGCGGAGGAUUUAAGCUCCUCUUCUCGUGAGAGAGCGUGGGUUCGAACCCCACUUCCGUCA
This 84-nucleotide transfer RNA is filed under the name Thermochaetoides thermophila DSM 1495. RNAcentral's name for it is "tRNA-Leu (TAA) (tRNA-Leu-TAA-1-1)". It matches the Rfam family "tRNA". Rfam says of the family: Transfer RNA (tRNA) molecules are approximately 80 nucleotides in length. Their secondary structure includes four short double-helical elements and three loops (D, anti-codon, and T loops). Further hydrogen bonds mediate the characteristic L-shaped molecular structure. tRNAs have two regions of fundamental functional importance: the anti-codon, which is responsible for specific mRNA codon recognition, and the 3' end, to which the tRNAs corresponding amino acid is attached (by aminoacyl-tRNA synthetases). tRNAs cope with the degeneracy of the genetic code in two manners: having more than one tRNA (with a specific anti-codon) for a particular amino acid; and 'wobble' base-pairing, i.e. permitting non-standard base-pairing at the 3rd anti-codon position. Lineage: Eukaryota; Fungi; Ascomycota; Sordariomycetes; Sordariales; Chaetomiaceae. The record is from RNAcentral.